This 447-nucleotide ribosomal RNA is filed under the name uncultured Thermogutta sp. Its description in RNAcentral is "bacterial SSU rRNA". It matches the Rfam family "Bacterial small subunit ribosomal RNA", at positions 354 to 796 of the family's 1533-position model. The record is from RNAcentral. Lineage: Bacteria; Pseudomonadati; Planctomycetota; Planctomycetia; Pirellulales; Thermoguttaceae.
GUCGAGAAUCUUCCGCAAUGGGCGAAAGCCUGACGGAGCGACGCCGCGUGCAGGAUGAAGGCCUUCGGGUUGUAAACUGCUGUCACGCUCUAGGAAUUGUCUGUCGCUAAUAUCGGCAGGCUUGACCAAAGCGAAAGGAAGCACCGGCUAACUCCGUGCCAGCAGCCGCGGUAAGACGGAGGGUGCAAACGUUGCUCGGAAUCACUGGGCAUAAAGCGCACGUAGGCGGUCCGCUAAGUCGGGCGUGAAAGCCCCCGGCUCAACCGGGGAACUGCGUCCGAUACUGGCGGGCUCGAGGACGGUAGGGGUGAGUGGAACUCCAGGUGGAGCGGUGAAAUGCGUAGAUAUCUGGAGGAACACCGGUGGCGAAAGCGGCUCACUGGACCGUCUCUGACGCUGAGGUGCGAAAGCUAGGGUAGCGAACGGGAUUAGAUACCCCGGUAGUCC